GUUUGUUACAAACACUCUGACUUUUCUCUGUACGGAGAGGAACUGCUCGGGACACUUUGGGGGCUUUAUUUUUGCGGGAUUUUCUAGGGCAGUUUUUAUCACUUUGGUGACGGGGCCGGUGACUUCUCUGGCUCUGGAACCGGAGCAUCUCUCCAGCCCGUGAUACCUCUACUCCAUUACGCGCGUAACAGAGGCGGCCGUUGAGUAAAGAUGCUUUAAGUGAGCGUUCAAAGGUGAAGAAGCGGCGCGGGACUUGAGUUUGCGCACCGCAUGAGUGCGACCAUGCAAAGGCAGCAGGAUAGAGAGCAUACAAAUCUGAGGGUGCUGCUUCUCUGCCUCUUCCUCGCCGCCCUCGCCUGGACAGUGCAGGCUGUAAGUUUU
This is a long non-coding RNA of Poecilia latipinna (sailfin molly), 381 nucleotides long. RefSeq lists it as uncharacterized. The record is from RefSeq and is a predicted model, not a curated record. NCBI's taxonomy places the organism in Eukaryota, Metazoa, Chordata, Actinopteri, Cyprinodontiformes, Poeciliidae. The transcript is spliced from 3 exons.